AGUGAACGCUGGCGGUAGGCCUAACACAUGCAAGUCGAACGGCAGCACAGUAAGAGCUUGCUCUUACGGGUGGCGAGUGGCGGACGAGUGAGGAAUACAUCGGAAUCUACUUUUUCGUGGGGGAUAACGUAGGGAAACUUACGCUAAUACCGCAUACGACCUACGGGUGAAAGCAGGGGAUCUUCGGACCUUGCGCGAUUGAAUGAGCCGAUGUCGGAUUAGCUAGUUGGCGGGGUAAAGGCCCACCAAGGCGACGAUCCGUAGCUGGUCUGAGAGGAUGAUCAGCCACACUGGAACUGAGACACGGUCCAGACUCCUACGGGAGGCAGCAGUGGGGAAUAUUGGACAAUGGGCGCAAGCCUGAUCCAGCCAUACCGCGUGGGUGAAGAAGGCCUUCGGGUUGUAAAGCCCCUUUGUUGGGAAAGAAAAGCAGCAGGUUAAUACCCCGCUGUUCUGACGGUACCCAAAGAAUAAGCACCGGCUAACUUCGUG
This 492-nucleotide ribosomal RNA is filed under the name uncultured bacterium. RNAcentral's name for it is "partial 16S ribosomal RNA". It matches the Rfam family "Bacterial small subunit ribosomal RNA", at positions 29 to 507 of the family's 1533-position model. The record is from RNAcentral.